GUCUGCCCAAGAAACUUAAUUCUUUUCCAGUUUUUUAUCCCUCAUUUGGUUUUUAUUACAUUUUUCUUGCCUGCUAUCUAGUACUAAUGAGAACUGUUUCCUUCCUGACUUAUUCCCUUCCAGCAAAGGCCUUGUUAAUUGUUGUCUUCUGUUAGCUAAAGUGACUCUCUGGGUCCUGGGUAUUGCACAGUCUAUGCUGGUUCACCUCAACCCUCUUCAUUUGCAUUCUCAGUCCUCAAGGUCUCAGCAGAGACUCUCUGUGUGCCACCAAGCAGUAUGUUUUCAGCCACUUGCACACCCAUCUAUACCAUGUCGCUUAUUUUCCCCCUUCUCAAAUGCCACAAAACCACCCUUUUACCAUUUCCCAUUCACUCGGUGCGUCGACAACUGACUCAGUCCUUUGGUAUAUAUUGGCUGUUACUGAACGGCUGUCACCACUCGCAAAGCAUCGGGUCACGGAUCAGAGCUUCAGGGUCUGGUGUUUGCACAGGGUAAGAGCAGCUGCAGGGAUGAGCAUGGGGCCCUUGCCAUGCCUGAGCUGACAGCCUGAGGUAGUGAGGUACACUGGAUGAAUUACUGGUGUCAGUUGUGGUGAUGCCUGGGCAUGAACUAGGUUCCUACAAAAAUGUGCUCAGAGUGGUGUUGGAAAGCUUGCCUGUGACCGUCCUCGAGCUCAGCAGAGCACAGACCUGAGGAUGCCAUUUGUGCAGUGUGUCUUUCUUCACCCCACACUGCCUGUCCGAACUGGGAGGUGCUUUUUAAGACCAAGACAUAUUCUACUAUGGCUGGGCUGUUUUGUUGCCUCAGGUAGCACCGAGCAGCAUCAGGUUGGAAGAGGCAUGGCUGCCCUGGACAGCCUGGGCAGGGAGGCAGAGAAGGAACCAUCUCUUCAGGGACCUGGCAGGCUCCAAUGUGCUCGACUGAGUCACCUCACCUUCACUGAACCUCACUUACUGGCACAGGCAAUCCACUUCCUGCAUCUGAAAGAUAAUUUUAUACUUUAAGCUGGAGCUCAAAACUCUCAAGGCCAACUUGUGUUGACUUGAACAUCCCAAGAUACCAGUGUCUCUGCUGUUAUUUCAAGUAGGCAGCAGCUGCCCCUGCUUGCUCUUAUCAUCAUCAAUGGAAAAAGGACACCUCCUCUUACAAAUCCCACUGCAAACUGAGACCACGAAGCCACAGGUGGCAGCAAGCAUGCCUUUCAGCACAGACGCAUAUUGACCCAACUGGCAGGCCGCCGGCCCUGGCUGCCCAGGACAUCUUCUCCUGAGGCCUCGGACAGCUUCCUCCUGGCUGCUGCCAUGCAGGGAGCAUGGAUGGUGGCCAAAACACUGAAUCCCUUCAUUCCAUCAGCUCCAUUUUCUGCACUGCAGGAGGUUUGAGGCUGUCAGUGAGCAGAGAUGUGGAACUGAAGCACCGAGGCCCAGCCUCAUGUUCCCUUCCGAGCCCUACCAAAAUGAGUGGCACGCACCCGCUGAAAAUCUGCCCUCGCUGCGGUUCUUAGUCACUCACUUUCUCCUUUUUUCACCUUCUCUCAGAAACUGAGACAGACUGAAGUUGCCCACACAUUAUGGGAAAAACAUUAGGUUUUACAAGCCAAGAAAGGAGAGUCAGGGGGAACAGGUGCAAGGUGGAGGAGGAAGAGAUAAAUACGUUACUCUGAGCCUGUUUUUUCUUCUUCUUUUUUUUUAUCUACAAUACCAUGAUUUAGCACAUGAUGCUUAGUAUAUCAGCAUUACUUUUGCCUCUUCAUUAUUUUGUGGUCAGUGCCCAUGCUAGUGAUGGCCACAACAUCCAAACAGACCUAUGAUGAAAUAAAAAUUAAAAGGAGAGAAAAGCGAUGAGAGAA
Molecule: long non-coding RNA, 1849 nt
Filed under: Anas platyrhynchos platyrhynchos (common mallard)
Lineage: Eukaryota; Metazoa; Chordata; Aves; Anseriformes; Anatidae
Description: lncRNA (ENSAPLG00000022364.1)
Source: RNAcentral